GCUGUAUGUGCUCGCUCCUAACAAUGUUCAUCCCAAACACCUGUGCACAUUUAGAGAGGGACUCGGAGUUGUGCUUGGGGUCCCUUGGUCUGAUACACACACAUUAGUUAAAUAUUGAACGUGAGAGGGCUUAAUAUUAAUACAACUUUUAACAACGGAUCUCUUGGCUCUCGCAUCGAUGAAGAACGCAGCGAAAUGCGAUAAGUAAUGUGAAUUGCAGAAUUCAGUGAAUCAUCGAAUUUUUGAACGCACCUUGCGCUCCCUGGUAUUCCGGGGAGCACGCCUGUUCGAGUGUCGUGAAAUUGUCAAACCGGGAUGCUUUUUAGUUUCUCGGGUUGGUUGUUGGGCUUUGCAGUUCCUUUGAUUGGGAUGGCUGGCCUGAAAAGCAUUAGCUGGCUUUUAAUGUGGGAUUGGUUCUACUCAGCGUGAUAAUGAUUUGACCGCGGAGGACAUCUGACGAGAUGACCAAUUCUGAUUAGGGCUGCUUCUAAUUUUGGUCGAGCGGAUUGUGAAUCUGGUUGACUUUUGGGCUUUUGACCUCGAAUCAGGUGGGACUACCCGCUGAACUUAAGCAUAUCAAUAAGCGGAGGAAAAGAAACUAACAAGGAUUCCCCUAGUAA
RNAcentral lists this ribosomal RNA (620 nucleotides) under uncultured fungus. Its description in RNAcentral is "eukaryotic LSU rRNA". The stretch from base 144 to 297 matches the Rfam family "5.8S ribosomal RNA". The record is from RNAcentral. Lineage: Eukaryota; Fungi.